UACGUAGGGUGCGAGCGUUAAUCGGAAUUACUGGGCGUAAAGUGUGCGCAGGCGGCAAAGCAAGUCGAGUGUGAAAGCCCCCGGCUCAACUGGGGAGGGUCACGCGAUACUGAUCGACUCGAAGGCAGGAGAGGGUAGUGGAAUUCCCGGUGUAGUGGUGAAAUGCGUAGAUAUCGGGAGGAACACCAGUGGCGAAGGCGACUACCUGGCCUGUUCUUGACGCUGAGGCGCGAAAGCUAGGGGAGCAAACGGG
Molecule: ribosomal RNA, 253 nt
Filed under: uncultured bacterium
Lineage: Bacteria
Description: partial 16S ribosomal RNA
Rfam family: Bacterial small subunit ribosomal RNA
Source: RNAcentral